This 253-nucleotide ribosomal RNA is filed under the name uncultured bacterium. RNAcentral describes it as "partial 16S ribosomal RNA". It matches the Rfam family "Bacterial small subunit ribosomal RNA", at positions 524 to 776 of the family's 1533-position model. The record is from RNAcentral.
UACGUAGGGUGCGAGCGUUAAUCGGAAUUACUGGGCGUAAAGCGUGCGCAGGCGGUUCGUCGUGUCCGAUGUGAAAGCCCCGGGCUCAACCUGGGAAUGGCAUUGGAAACUGGCGGACUCGAGUGUGGCAGAGGGGGGUGGAAUUCCGCGUGUAGCAGUGAAAUGCGUAGAGAUGCGGAGGAACACCGAUGGCGAGGGCAGCCCCCUGGGUUAACACUGACGCUCAGGCACGAAAGCGUGGGGAGCAAACAGG